This 253-nucleotide ribosomal RNA is filed under the name uncultured bacterium. RNAcentral describes it as "partial 16S ribosomal RNA". It matches the Rfam family "Bacterial small subunit ribosomal RNA", at positions 524 to 776 of the family's 1533-position model. The record is from RNAcentral.
UACGAACUGUGCGAACGUUAUUCGGAAUCACUGGGCUUACAGGGUGCGUAGGCGGCUUGUUAAGUAGGGUGUGAAAGCCCCCGGCUCAACCGGGGAAUGGCGUCCUAAACUGGCGAGCUAGAGUGAGAUAGGGGUAUGUGGAACUUCCGGUGGAGCGGUGAAAUGUGUUGAUAUCGGAAGGAACGCCGGUGGCGAAAGCGACAUACUGGAUCUUGUCUGACGCUGAGGCACGAAAGCCAGGGGAGCGAACGGG